Molecule: ribosomal RNA, 468 nt
Filed under: uncultured bacterium
Lineage: Bacteria
Description: partial 16S ribosomal RNA
Rfam family: Bacterial small subunit ribosomal RNA
Source: RNAcentral
GACGAACGCUGGCGGCGUGCUUAACACAUGCAAGUCGAACGGAAAGGCCCUGCUUUUGUGGGGUGCUCGAGUGGCGAACGGGUGAGUAACACGUGAGUAACCUGCCCUUGACUUUGGGAUAACUUCAGGAAACUGGGGCUAAUACCGGAUAGGAGCUCCUGCUGCAUGGUGGGGGUUGGAAAGUUUCGGCGGUUGGGGAUGGGCUCGCGGCUUAUCAGCUUGUUGGUGGGGUAGUGGCUUACCAAGGCUUUGACGGGUAGCCGGCCUGAGAGGGUGACCGGCCACCUUGGGACUGAGAUACGGACCAGAAUCCUACGGGAGGCAGCAGCGGGGAAUAUUGCACAAUGGGGGGAAGCCUGAUGCAGCAACGCCGCGUGCGGGAUGACGGCCUUCGAGUUGUAAACCGCUUUCGACUGUGACGAAGCGUGAGUGACGGUAAUGGGUCAAGAAGCAACGGCUAACUACGUG